UACGAAGGGGCUAGCGUUGCUCGGAAUCACUGGGCGUAAGCGCACGUAGGCGGAUCGUUAAGUCAGGGUGAAUCCUGGAGCUCAACUCCAGAACUGCCUUUGAUACUGGCGAUCUUGAGUUCGAGAGAGGUGAGUGGAACUGCGAGUGUAGAGGUGAAAUUCGUAGAUAUUCGCAAGAACACCAGUGGCGAAGGCGGACUCACUGGCUCGAUACUGACGCUGAGGUGCGAAAGCGUGGGGAGCAAACAGG
RNAcentral lists this ribosomal RNA (250 nucleotides) under uncultured bacterium. Its description in RNAcentral is "partial 16S ribosomal RNA". It matches the Rfam family "Bacterial small subunit ribosomal RNA", at positions 524 to 776 of the family's 1533-position model. The record is from RNAcentral.